UUCCCAUGCAGGGCUCCGUCGGCUCCCUGUGCCCACGGUCCCUGUGCAGGGCUCCAUCGGCUCCCCGUGCCCUCGGUUCCCGUGCAGGGCUCCGUCGGCUCCCCGUGCCCGUGCAGCGCGGUGCAAGGCGUGCUUGUCGGCGGGGCAGCCGUGAUGAGCGGCUCGGCGGCGGUGCGUGCAGCACCUGGGGAGGGUGGAGCCGCCAUCCCCGAGGUUUCUCCAACAGUCGGACGAACAUCUGCCAGGAACGUGCGCCGCGGGGCAGGGCGGGAGGCGGGAGCUGCCCGGGCCCCCCAGCAGGCGGGGAGGGGGCCGUGGGGCUCCGCGGCGCGAGGCCGCCCACUCACGCUGCCCCUCUGCCGCAGGCCCAUGCUCAUCGACAUGAACAAGGUGUACCGCCAGAGCAACCUGGAGAACCUGGACCAGGCCUUCACCGUGGCCGAGCGGGACCUGGGGGUGACGCGCCUCCUGGACCCCGAAGGUACCGCUGCAACGUCCCCGCGUCGCCCGCGUCCUCGUGGGCGCCGCUCCCGCAGCACGGACGCCCGGCCGCGCCGCCGUCCUCCUCCGGCGCCGGGCGGCCCCUGACCGCCCUCCCUCCCCCUAGACGUGGACGUGCCCCAGCCGGACGAGAAGUCCAUCAUCACCUACGUCUCGUCGCUGUACGACGCCAUGCCCCGCGUGCCCGACGUGCAGGACGGCGUCAAGGCCAACGAGCUGCAGCUGCGCUGGCAGGAGUACUAUGAGGUGGUGACGAUGCUGCUGCAGUGGAUUCGCCACCACACCGUCCUCUUCGAGGAGCGCAAGUUCCCUGCCAGCUACGAGGAGAUCGAGGUGAGGGGGCCGGCGGUGCGCCGGCUGCAGGGGACGGUGCACAGCGGAGUGGGGGGGGAGCCGCCGCAGGGGUCCGGUGUCCGGCUCCGCCGCCCUGAGCAGCGCCGGCAGGGAGGGACCCUCUGAGUCACUUUUUCCAGGCGGGCUCCUCGUGACUCACCGAUGGCAAACACAAGCCGCCCGGCCCGGCCCCUUCCUUCCUGCGGGCUCCCGGCGCGGCGGCCGGCGGGGAGGGGGUGCCCGCGCCGCCCCGGCCCCCCCAGGCCACGUGCCACAGCCUGGCCGUGCGUGCACGUGCGCGGAGCCCCCCGGCCGGGUGCGCGCGGUGGGG
This 1165-nucleotide long non-coding RNA is filed under the name Apteryx haastii (Great spotted kiwi). RNAcentral's name for it is "lncRNA (ENSAHAG00000000633.1)". Lineage: Eukaryota; Metazoa; Chordata; Aves; Apterygiformes; Apterygidae. The record is from RNAcentral.